GUCUUCUGGGAAAGCUUUCGCGGUAUGGGACGGGGUCGCGUCCUAUCAGCCUGACGGCGGGGUAACGGCCCACCGUGGCUUCGACGGGUAGCCGGCCUGAGAGGGCGACCGGCCACAUUGGGACUGAGAUACGGCCCAGACUCCUACGGGAGGCAGCAGUGGGGAAUAUUGCACAAUGGGCGCAAGCCUGAUGCAGCGACGCCGCGUGAGGGAUGGAGGCCUUCGGGUUGUAAACCUCUUUUAUCGGGGAGCAAGCGAGAGUGAGUUUACCCGUUGAAUAAGCACCGGCUAACUACGUGCCAGCAGCCGCGGUAAUACGUAGGGUGCAAGCGUUAUCCGGAAUUAUUGGGCGUAAAGGGCUCGUAGGCGGUUCGUCGCGUCCGGUGUGAAAGUCCAUCGCUUAACGGUGGAUCCGCGCCGGGUACGGGCGGG
RNAcentral lists this ribosomal RNA (432 nucleotides) under uncultured Bifidobacterium sp. Its description in RNAcentral is "bacterial SSU rRNA". It matches the Rfam family "Bacterial small subunit ribosomal RNA", at positions 193 to 640 of the family's 1533-position model. The record is from RNAcentral. Lineage: Bacteria; Bacillati; Actinomycetota; Actinomycetes; Bifidobacteriales; Bifidobacteriaceae.